RNAcentral lists this ribosomal RNA (164 nucleotides) under Trisetum flavescens. RNAcentral describes it as "5.8S ribosomal RNA". It matches the Rfam family "5.8S ribosomal RNA". Rfam says of the family: 5.8S ribosomal RNA (5.8S rRNA) is a component of the large subunit of the eukaryotic ribosome. It is transcribed by RNA polymerase I as part of the 45S precursor that also contains 18S and 28S rRNA. Lineage: Eukaryota; Viridiplantae; Streptophyta; Magnoliopsida; Poales; Poaceae. The record is from RNAcentral.
CACACGACUCUCGGCAACGGAUAUCUCGGCUCUCGCAUCGAUGAAGAACGUAGCGAAAUGCGAUACCUGGUGUGAAUUGCAGAAUCCCGCGAACCAUCGAGUCUUUGAACGCAAGUUGCGCCCGAGUCCUUUUGGCCGAGGGCACGCCUGCCUGGGCGUCACGC